RNAcentral lists this ribosomal RNA (1198 nucleotides) under Corynebacterium striatum. RNAcentral describes it as "bacterial SSU rRNA". It matches the Rfam family "Bacterial small subunit ribosomal RNA", at positions 1 to 1213 of the family's 1533-position model. The record is from RNAcentral. Lineage: Bacteria; Bacillati; Actinomycetota; Actinomycetes; Mycobacteriales; Corynebacteriaceae.
UUUGUGGAGAGUUUGAUCCUGGCUCAGGACGAACGCUGGCGGCGUGCUUAACACAUGCAAGUCGAACGGAAAGGCCUGCAGCUUGCUGCGGGUACUCGAGUGGCGAACGGGUGAGUAACACGUGGGUGAUCUGCCUUGCACUUCGGGAUAAGCUUGGGAAACUGGGUCUAAUACCGGAUAGGACAGCUGUUUAGUGUCAGUUGUGGAAAGUUUUUUCGGUGCAAGAUGAGCUCGCGGCCUAUCAGCUUGUUGGUGGGGUAAUGGCCUACCAAGGCGUCGACGGGUAGCCGGCCUGAGAGGGUGUACGGCCACAUUGGGACUGAGAUACGGCCCAGACUCCUACGGGAGGCAGCAGUGGGGAAUAUUGCACAAUGGGCGGAAGCCUGAUGCAGCGACGCCGCGUGGGGGAUGAAGGCCUUCGGGUUGUAAACUCCUUUCGACAGGGACGAAGCUUUUGUGACGGUACCUGUAUAAGAAGCACCGGCUAACUACGUGCCAGCAGCCGCGGUAAUACGUAGGGUGCGAGCGUUGUCCGGAAUUACUGGGCGUAAAGAGCUCGUAGGUGGUUUGUCGCGUCGUCUGUGAAAUUCCGGGGCUUAACUCCGGGCGUGCAGGCGAUACGGGCUGACUUGAGUGCUGUAGGGGAGACUGGAAUUCCUGGUGUAGCGGUGAAAUGCGCAGAUAUCAGGAGGAACACCGAUGGCGAAGGCAGGUCUCUGGGCAGUAACUGACGCUGAGGAGCGAAAGCAUGGGUAGCGAACAGGAUUAGAUACCCUGGUAGUCCAUGCCGUAAACGGUGGGCGCUAGGUGUAGGGGGCUUCCACGUCUUCUGUGCCGUAGCUAACGCAUUAAGCGCCCCGCCUGGGGAGUACGGCCGCAAGGCUAAAACUCAAAGGAAUUGACGGGGGCCCGCACAAGCGGCGGAGCAUGUGGAUUAAUUCGAUGCAACGCGAAGAACCUUACCUGGGCUUGACAUAUACAAGACAGGCGUAGAGAUACGUCCUCCCUUGUGGUUUGUAUACAGGUGGUGCAUGGUUGUCGUCAGCUCGUGUCGUGAGAUGUUGGGUUAAGUCCCGCAACGAGCGCAACCCUUGUCUUAUGUUGCCAGCAUUUGGUUGGGGACUCAUGAGAGACUGCCGGGGUCAACUCGGAGGAAGGUGGGGAUGACGUCAAAUCAUCAUGCCCCUUAUGUCCAGGG